GAUGAACGCUGGCGGCGUGCCUAAUACAUGCAAGUCGAGCGAACGGACGAGAAGCUUGCUUCUCUGAUGUUAGCGGUGGACGGGUGAGUAACACGUGGAUAACCUACCUAUAAGACUGGGAUAACUUCGGGAAACCGGAGCUAAUACCGGAUAAUAUUUUGAACCGCAUGGUUCAAAAGUGAAAGACGGUCUUGCUGUCACUUAUAGAUGGAUCCGCGCUGCAUUAGCUAGUUGGUAAGGUAACGGCUUACCAAGGCAACGAUGCAUAGCCGACCUGAGAGGGUGAUCGGCCACACUGGAACUGAGACACGGUCCAGACUCCUACGGGAGGCAGCAGUAGGGAAUCUUCCGCAAUGGGCGAAAGCCUGACGGAGCAACGCCGCGUGAGUGAUGAAGGUCUUCGGAUCGUAGAACUCUGUUAUUAGGGAAGAACAUAUGUGUAAGUAACUGUGCACAUCUUGACGGUACCUAAUCAGAAAGCCACGGCUAACUACGUG
This 497-nucleotide ribosomal RNA is filed under the name uncultured bacterium. RNAcentral describes it as "partial 16S ribosomal RNA". It matches the Rfam family "Bacterial small subunit ribosomal RNA", at positions 28 to 507 of the family's 1533-position model. The record is from RNAcentral.